GUGAGGAAUAUUGGUCAAUGGGCGGAAGCCUGAACCAGCCAUGCCGCGUGAAGGAUGAAGGCCUAUGGGUUGUAAACUUCUUUUCUUAGAGAAGAAUAUUGACGGUAUCUGAGGAAUAAGCACCGGCUAACUCCGUGCCAGCAGCCGCGGUAAUACGGAGGGUGCGAGCGUUGUCCGGAUUUAUUGGGUUUAAAGGGUGCGUAGGCGGCUGAUUAAGUCAGCGGUGAAAGACUUCGGCUUAACCGGAGCAGUGCCGUUGAUACUGGUUGGCUUGAGUGUCGGAGGGGUACAUGGAAUUGAUGGUGUAGCGGUGAAAUGCAUAGAUACCAUCAGGAACACCGAUAGCGAAGGCAUUGUACUGGCCGACAACUGACGCUGAUGCACGAAAGUGUGGGGAUCGAACAGGAUUAGAAACCCCAGUAGUCC
Molecule: ribosomal RNA, 426 nt
Filed under: uncultured bacterium
Lineage: Bacteria
Description: partial 16S ribosomal RNA
Rfam family: Bacterial small subunit ribosomal RNA
Source: RNAcentral